AUAAGAUGCACCAACCAAAAUAACAUAGCUAGUAGCUUAGUAUCAGUACACCAUGUUCAUAAGAUGCAACAACCAAAACACAACCUCAUCAAACCACAGUCAAUCUCUUGUCCAUAUUGUGGUUCACAUGUCCAUUCAAAGAAACUCAUCAACCCCUGGUCCAAACAACUCAACAUCAAAAGUCCUGAUGAUGCUCACUAACCUGCAGGACAAACAAGGCCAUAAGUGAGCUCCAGCAAAGGCAUUUCCUGAUGAUUUCAGGGCAGAAGAUUGCACCUAACUAUACACCAAGAACACAACUGCUGGAAACUGUUAAGACAUACAGAUAUGUGCACGCCAAAAAAUAGCAGAUCUGUGAAGGGGGUGUCUAUUAGCAAAUUUUGGUCUAAAUACAACAUAGGCAGGCAAAUGCUUAGUGUAACUAAUGAACUGCUGUUGUUUGCGUUUCUGAACUUUGCUAAAUGAAGACGAAUACACCAAAAACUAAUGAACUCUAUCUACACAGGCUCCAUCUCUAGACGAACAGAGCAAAAAAAUCCAAAUCUCUCCAUGCACACAAAAACGAUCUCAAUCCGUGAAUUGCCUCGCGCAUUGCACGGAACAGGGUGCAUACACAUCAACAGUGUAUGAAGCAUCGCUCCCCCCUUAAUCCCUCUCACCAGCAGCAGCAUAUGAAGCAGCCGAUCUGUCAACGAAGACUACUAUGGCGACUGACUACUAGUACGACAUACAACAAAAAACGAUCAAGGAUAUCAAUGUCAAGACAGGUACAAAAGCACGAAGAACUGGAUUAACAGUCGUCCAAGCAGCUAGCGCUGACAGUUAGACACUUAAUCUCCCCAGACACCAGUGAAGACAUAUUUCUGAUAGAUAACUUGGCACUGAAGCCGCAUCUAAACUAAACAGUUGACUGAACAAAAGUGCGUGGCAGUAGAUAGUUAUCGGGAAGGAAGGAGUACUGGAAAAGACAAGUCACCUCCUUCAACUGCUCAAAAGUAUGCUUUAUUAGAUCAAAAUUACUAUCAUUUUAGCCUCGUCUGUACACAGACUUAUUAACUCAGUGCCAGUAAAUCUACAACACAAGCGUCUCAUUUGGGAACAAGGACAAACCUACAGGUGACAUGGCCAGUGAACUAAAAUCAAACAAGUAACUCAACAGCACUUGGCAGAUGAAGAUCUCUAGUAAUUCAUCCAUAAGUCCGCUGGUCAGAAACAAACACAAAAAGAAAUGGCACAUGAAAAAAAAUUGAUUAAC
RNAcentral lists this long non-coding RNA (1255 nucleotides) under Triticum aestivum (bread wheat). RNAcentral describes it as "long non-coding RNA (TAES_LNC023288)". The record is from RNAcentral. Lineage: Eukaryota; Viridiplantae; Streptophyta; Magnoliopsida; Poales; Poaceae.